CUACGGGCGGCUCCAGUGGGGAAUAUUGGACAAUGGACCAAAAGUCUGAUCCAGCAAUUCUGUGUGUUUGAUGAAGGCCUUCGGGUUGUAAAGAACUUUCAAUGGGGAAGAAGCAAGUGACGGUACCCAUAGAAGAAGCGACGGCUAAAUACGUGCCAGCAGCCGCGGUAAUACGUAUGUCGCAAGCGUUAUCCGGAAUUAUUGGGCAUAAAGGGCAUCUAGGCGGUUUGGUAAGUUCGAUGUGAAAAUGCGGGGCUCAACUCCGUAUUGCGUUGAAAACUGCCAGACUAGAGUUUUGGAGAGGUAGGCGGAACUACAAGUGUAGAGGUGAAAUUCGUAGAGAUUUGUAGGAAUGCCGAUGACGAAGGUAGCUUACUGGACAAAUACUGACGCUGAAGUGCGAAAGCUAGGGGAGCAAACAGGAUUAGAUACCCUCGUAGUC
This 442-nucleotide ribosomal RNA is filed under the name uncultured bacterium. RNAcentral's name for it is "partial 16S ribosomal RNA". It matches the Rfam family "Bacterial small subunit ribosomal RNA", at positions 339 to 795 of the family's 1533-position model. The record is from RNAcentral.